ACACACUCACCCCCAAUUUACAAAUGGUACAAGGAAGGGGUAUUUAUAGCAUUUCCGCCCCUGUCCGCCAACAUGGCCGUGUUCCUGGCCGUGUUGGGAACAUGGCCGUGCUAAAGGCCGUGUUGGGAACACGGUCUGGGGUAAAUAGCCGUGUUACCUACUGUGGCCGUGUUUCCCGAAGCUUCUAGGCCUUUCGCAUUUUUAUUCAACCAACACGGGCGUGUCCGUGGGCGUGUUUAUCAACACGGGCAGUGUUGUUCAACACGGGCCGUGUUGUGAAGCCUUCCCUUGCUAGCUGCGAGGCGGGGCGUGACAUUCUCCCCCACUCAAUCUGGCAACGCCCCCGUUGCCUGCUCC
Molecule: long non-coding RNA, 357 nt
Filed under: Ricinus communis (castor bean)
Lineage: Eukaryota; Viridiplantae; Streptophyta; Magnoliopsida; Malpighiales; Euphorbiaceae
Description: long non-coding RNA (RCOM_LNC003628)
Source: RNAcentral